AAAAUCCAGAAAUCCAGCCAGGUAGACUGUGGAGGAGGUCAAGUUUCAGUGAGGGGAGGCAAACUUCAGAUGCCUGAGCUAGAAGUCAGAGGUAGACAAUGAGAUCUCAAAUGGAGACAGAGCUGGCUGAUGAUGGCUUCCAAGGCCGGGUGCCAGGGGCAGAAGUGGGUCCAGACCACGUGCAGUUUCUGGGCUAGCACGGACCUUCCUCAGCGAGGGGCUUUGAUGGAGAUGUUCUGGGAACCCUGGUGUCCCUGGAGGCUCACAGAUGGCUCCCCAGGCCGGAGGUACAGUAACAGCCUGGUAACAUAGACGGAACGCUAUUGUCCCCUGAAAUCCG
Molecule: long non-coding RNA, 340 nt
Filed under: Ovis aries (sheep)
Lineage: Eukaryota; Metazoa; Chordata; Mammalia; Artiodactyla; Bovidae
Description: lncRNA (ENSOARG00000026887.1)
Source: RNAcentral